RNAcentral lists this long non-coding RNA (1648 nucleotides) under Homo sapiens (human). RNAcentral describes it as "HSALNT0279340". Lineage: Eukaryota; Metazoa; Chordata; Mammalia; Primates; Hominidae. The record is from RNAcentral.
AAGAAAUCCGGCGCCCCAGCCAAUGGCGGGGCGAGCCGUUUCCUGGCUCCGCCCCCAGCAGUGCCUAGGAAGGUCACCCGCCGGCCCCGAGCAGGGUUCCUGGGGGUGUGGGAGUGCGGGAGGCGACCUGCGCUUGUCCCGCGGCCUCGAGGUGACACACGCCGCCAGUCUGCGUCCCCGGCUGUCUGCGCAUCCCGUCGCGCACGUGGCCGGGCGCGCGGGGAGGUAGCGCCGGCUCCUCUGGAAGCCCUCGCAGCGGCAGCGCCCCCAGCCUCGCAGCCCCGGCGGGGGCCGAGAGCGCACCUGGCUGGAGAUGCUUCCUCCUCACCCUGGGCUCUGACCUCACGCCCGCAGCCCGAGGGCCCUCCCUGGUACCUCUGCCCUGCUGGCCGGUGCCUGGAGUGGCCCCGCCCGACUCCUGCCGUCUGACACGGUCCUGGCUGCCCUCCGGGCUCUCCAGCAGCUGCUGUCCACCUCCACCAGGGAGCCCACCUUGAUUGCUGCGACAGCCGCACUCAAAGGCUGAACAGCCGGGGUACACAUUGCCCUGGUCUGGACUUCACCCUGUCGUGCCCCUUCCCUGCUCUCUGUACAGAAGUCUGACUCACCUGUGUGGUUUGGUGCAAACCCACAGAUUGCCAACAUUGGUCCAAAGUCACCGGCCUGAGAGCAGCUCAGGGUUCCAGGACUCACCAUCGCUGUCCCUGCGCUGACCACUCACACACCACUCCCCUGUUCAGCUCUUCUGAGGCUGUGGCUCUCGGGACUGGCCCAGGCCCACCUGCCAUCUGGGCGCCCUCUGGGGCUCGCUUCGUCGCCCGCUGCCUGGGCCCAUGCCUGUGCUCCUGGGGGCUCCUCUCUUGCCUAGCUCAUCUCUUCCUGUCCCUUGGGUCCUGAGGAUCAAAGCCAACGCGACAUUGUUUGUCCCCAGGCCCCUCCCCCUCCAGCCGCUGCUUCCCAGAGCUCUGUCCAGUUCUCUCCCGCAGUACGAGGGCAGGGUUGGGGCUGGUGGGUUAGCCUUCCCCCACCCACCACGCACCCAGCACAGGGCUCCCCCGAGAUCAGAUCCCUGGUAGGAUGACACCCCAAGCCUUCCCCUCCAGCAGUAUCCACACAGCACCUGCGAAGGAGGAGGGGCUGCUGCCCAUGUGGGUCCUCCCGGGGACCUACCUGAGGGUCCAGUGGGGCUGCCCUCUUCUGUGCUGGACACGCAGCAGAGGUGGGCAGAGAUGCUGGAGAGCACGGUAGGUCUAGGGGGUGACCACUACAGUUGAGUUCAUGUCAGGCUCCAGGCCAGUCUUCCCUGAGUCAUCCUGGCCGUAGAAGACCAGGCUCUGGCGGGCAGGCACCCCACCCUGGCUCUCCCUAGGCCCCGGGUCUUGCUCUGAAACCCUCAAGUGUCCCUUAACUAAGAUCCAGGAGGACUUGCUCCUUCAGAAAGCACGGUGUGCCUGUCCUCCACGGCCCUCCUCCCGCUCACUCCAGGUGUGCUGGAGAUUCCUCCAGGCCUCCAGAUGGGAUUCCUGCCACACAGGCCUCGGUGAAAGCCUCCGGAGGGCUCCUGCGUGGGGGUCCAGCAGCCUGGCCCUGGAGUGGAGGGCAGGGCAGGGCCAGAGGCAGCCCUUUCCCUAAAGUGUGACAUCUUUGU